GAUGAACGCUGGCGGCGUGCUUAACACAUGCAAGUCGAACGAUGUAGCCCAGCUUGCUGGGUGGAUUAGUGGCGAACGGGUGAGUAACACGUGAGCAACCUGCCCCUGACUCUGGGAUAAGCGCUGGAAACGGCGUCUAAUACUGGAUAUGUCCCGUCACCGCAUGGUGUGCGGGUGGAAAGAUUUUUCGGUUGGGGAUGGGCUCGCGGCCUAUCAGCUUGUUGGUGAGGUAAUGGCUCACCAAGGCGUCGACGGGUAGCCGGCCUGAGAGGGUGACCGGCCACACUGGGACUGAGACACGGCCCAGACUCCUACGGGAGGCAGCAGUGGGGAAUAUUGCACAAUGGGCGGAAGCCUGAUGCAGCAACGCCGCGUGAGGGAUGACGGCCUUCGGGUUGUAAACCUCUUUUAGCAGGGAAGAAGCGAAAGUGACGGUACCUGCAGAAAAAGCACCGGCUAACUACGUG
RNAcentral lists this ribosomal RNA (467 nucleotides) under uncultured bacterium. RNAcentral describes it as "partial 16S ribosomal RNA". It matches the Rfam family "Bacterial small subunit ribosomal RNA", at positions 28 to 507 of the family's 1533-position model. The record is from RNAcentral.